This is a long non-coding RNA of Brassica napus (rape), 2406 nucleotides long. RefSeq lists it as uncharacterized. The record is from RefSeq and is a predicted model, not a curated record. Lineage: Eukaryota; Viridiplantae; Streptophyta; Magnoliopsida; Brassicales; Brassicaceae. The transcript has 4 exons.
AAAAUAGCUUUACCACUUCAAAAGUUUACAAUACUUAUAUAAUAAAAAUAACAUAAUCGUUUACUAUUAAAUCCAUUUCAUUCUUUAAAUUUUGGCUACUUUUUAUAAUAUAUAUGUGUGGUAUUUUGGAAUAAGCUCAUUUUACUCUUAUCAUAUUUAUAUUUUACAAUACAAGGAGAAACAAACGCACAUGGUUGUAAUUUGUCAAGUAGUUUGACCUAUUUGUAUACUUUGUACUAGUACAUAAAAAAAUUCUAGGUCUGUGUGUAACAUGCAUAUCUAACACUACUAAAAGCUCGAUAUACUGAGCAGAGAGCUAUGACACGUAGGACAGUUUAUUCAGACCAAUCAGAGAGCAUCAUUUUUAUUGAAAGGCUAUGUUUCAGACAGCCCAUCUCUUGGCCCAAAUAUAUUCCAAAGCAAGUGAUCUCUGACGACUCCGCUUCACCUUCAUCGUCUCCCAUCGGGAAAGUCAAUCAUCUCUGCAAACAGUCAAUCAUCACCCGAAAAAGCUAUGCCACCGCUGAUUCUAUUGGUCUUGAAUCUUGAUUGCUGAGUCCUCAUCGCUAUCACCAGAAGACGACCCUAGAAACUGUAAGCUAUUUUUGUUUCCUAUCUGGUCUGCUCAUUUUUUUCCUGGACUAUAUUAGUUAAUUGCAUAAAUAAUACAAUCAAGUAAGACUGGCAUUGGCGAUCCCACCUUACAGCUCAGAACAAUCUGGUCAAAUCAACUGAUUCUGAUUAACACUCUUCAAGACUUAAGUCUUUGUGUUUGUCUUCUUCGUAUUUAGUUCACUUAUGUGGUCUAAUUUCCAUAUUUUCCAUAUUUUCUUUCUUUGAACGAUUUUAGUUUUAUUUUUACAGUUAACUGUGUCAAAUCUUUGGAGAGCCAUCCAGAUCAUCAACGUCAUCUUCAAGAGCAAAAAAAAAAAAAAAGAGUCUGCAAAUCAGUUGAUGAACAUCCAUUCGAUUUAUAUAUGUCUUUACUGGCUAUCUAAAUGAACCACCUCUGUUUCUGAUUACAACUGGUGAUCACAAGCUACUCUUUUUUUAAGACAUUCUUUUUAGUUUUUGGUAUAAUCUUCCAUCAGUCACGACUUUUAAUAAGUAAUGAGGUUUAAUAAACUUUGAAGUAAAAUUCAGAGCAUGUGGGGUUGAGUUUCAGGUCUCGAAGCCUGCAUCAGAUGGAAUUAAUGUGGGUGUGCUCCGAUUCUAAAAUAGCUGUUGAGAAAAGGAAGAAAAAUCUACCGAAGAUGUAGAAAUAUUGCAUCAUUUUCAUUAUUGCGGAAAAGUUUCACCGGAGACGUAAACGUGGAUUCAUCAUGUCUCGAGUUGAUACCUUGAAGGAUAUUGGGGGGUUUGCUCUAGACGGUGAUGGGGUUAGCUAAUUCACUGUAGAACCUUGGAUUUUGGCCACAAAAUACCUCAGAAUCAAAGUUACCUGAAAAAGUUAAACCCUUCCUCUUUUCUUUUUUUUUAAUCUGGUUAAACUGUUUUGCUUCAUAGGUGAUGUUUGUGACAACACAUUAAGGUGUUCCUGAAGAUUUCUAUGGAGCCAAAGUCACUGGAUCAAGAAGGCAACUUGGCUCCAACCAGUUUAGAGGAAUUAUGUACGGUACCCAAGCUACUACAUUGGUAAACCUCGAAGAUUUAUGACAAUGAUACAUUUUGUCAAAAGCUUUAUGGACAACUCAACUGAAAUCUUUUUGGUAUGAAACUUCCCUGUUCAAACGACUACGUUAAUUACAUAUUAUUGAGUGAAGACAGAGAGAACAGAUGGGCGAAGAGGAGAAACAGGAGAUGGAAGAAAAUUUUGGAAAAGUUGAUGAUGGUGCCCGCUUCAUGUAAACAUUUUGAAUAUAUGUAUAGACAAAGGCACAUGGUGGCACUUCGGAUUCCACUUGACAACAUCGACAAUGGUGCCCCCGCUACUGAGUCUACGUACACUUUCAAGUUCUGAGGAUGGGCUGCCUGUAUAUCGUGUUUUGUGGGAGAAGCAUCCGUCACGUUUUAGUCAUACAGCCUUCUCUCCCUAUGUUUUGUUUAGUGGAAAGCACAUGGAAAUUGAUGUCUUGAACUUUCCUUAUGCGUACAGAUUCAGUAGUUAUUUUUAAUGUUUUUGGUAUACCAUCCCCUGUUUUCAUUCGAGCUCCAUCUAUCUUCUUCUAACUGAUCGGGCUAUGGCUGUAGCGUGACUAGGUAACCCUGAACAAGGAAAAUGCUAACAGGGAAGAGGCUGAGAACGGAAACCCAGUUGUUGUGGGUCUAGCUUCUGAGAAUGUGUGGGGAAUUGUAUAGAAAUCUUAGGUAGAGACUCUUCAAAAUCUUUGUUUGUAUAAUAUUGUUAUUUUGAUCUUUUAAUGUUUCUUCGGUUUGAGUUAUAUAUUGGGAUAUGUUUCAUGGUGA